AGUGAACGCUGGCGGUAGGCCUAACACAUGCAAGUCGAACGGCAGCACAGUAAGAGCUUGCUCUUACGGGUGGCGAGUGGCGGACGGGUGAGGAAUACAUCGGAAUCUACUUUUUCGUGGGGGAUAACGUAGGGAAACUUACGCUAAUACCGCAUACGACCUACGGGUGAAAGCAGGGGAUCCUCGGACCUUGCGCGAUUGAAUGGGCCGAUGUCGGAUUAGCUAGUUGGCGGGGUAAAGGCCCACCAAGGCGACGAUCCGUAGCUGGUCUGAGAGGGUGAUCAGCCACACUGGAACUGAGACACGGUCCAGACUCCUACGGGAGGCAGCAGUGGGGAAUAUUGGACAAUGGGCGCAAGCCUGAUCCAGCCAUACCGCGUGGGUGAAGAAGGCCUUCGGGUUGUAAAGCCCUUUUGUUGGGAAAGAAAAGCAGCAGGUUAAUACCCCGCUGUUCUGACGGUACCCAAAGAAUAAGCACCGGCUAACUUCGUG
This 492-nucleotide ribosomal RNA is filed under the name uncultured bacterium. RNAcentral's name for it is "partial 16S ribosomal RNA". It matches the Rfam family "Bacterial small subunit ribosomal RNA", at positions 29 to 507 of the family's 1533-position model. The record is from RNAcentral.